GGGCACUANAACUUAGAUAGCAAAAUGCUACCUAUCCGCCAGAGAACUACAAGCAAAAUACUUAAAACUCAAAGGACUUGGCGGCAUUCCAUAUCAACCUAGAGGAGCCCGUCCAGUAAUCGAUAAUACGCGCUAAACCCUACCAUUUUUGGCCACUCCAGCCUAUAUACCGCCGUCGUCAGCUAACCUUGUGAAAGAAAAGAAGUAAGCACAAAAGCCCUCGCUAAAACGUCAGGUCAAGGUGUAGCUAAUAAAAUGGGUGUGAUAGGCUACAUUUUCUAUAAUAGAACACACGGAAAAUACAAUGAAACCUUGUAUUUGAAGGCGAAUUUAGAAGUAAACUAAGAAAGGAUCCUUAUUUUAACACAGCCCUGGAAUGCGCACACACCGCCCGUCACCCUCCUCAAAAUUAGAUGAGGCAAGUCGUAACAUGGUAAGCGUACUGGAAAGUGCGCUUGGAUUUU
This 464-nucleotide ribosomal RNA is filed under the name Namazonurus peersi. Its description in RNAcentral is "partial 12S small subunit ribosomal RNA". It matches the Rfam family "Bacterial small subunit ribosomal RNA", at positions 797 to 1524 of the family's 1533-position model. The record is from RNAcentral. Lineage: Eukaryota; Metazoa; Chordata; Lepidosauria; Squamata; Cordylidae.